GACGAACGCUGGCGGCGCGCCUAACACAUGCAAGUCGAACGGAGCUUGCUUGUCAGAUCCUUUCGGGGUGACGACUUGUAAGCUUAGUGGCGAACGGGUGAGUAACACGUGAGUAACCUGCCCCAGAGUGGGGGACAACAGUUGGAAACGACUGCUAAUACCGCAUAAGCCCACGGAACCGCAUGGUUCUGGGGGAAAAGGAGCAAUUCGCUCUGGGAUGGACUCGCGUCCGAUUAGCUGGAUGGUGAGGUAACGGCCCACCAUGGCGACGAUCGGUAGCCGGACUGAGAGGUUGAUCGGCCACAUUGGGACUGAGACACGGCCCAGACUCCUACGGGAGGCAGCAGUGGGGAAUAUUGCACAAUGGGGGAAACCCUGAUGCAGCGACGCCGCGUGGAGGAAGAAGGCCUUCGGGUCGUAAACUCCUGUCGUAAGGGACGAUAGUGACGGUACCUUACAAGAAAGCCACGGCUAACUACGUGCCAGCAGCCGCGGUAAAACGUAGGUGGCAAGCGUUGUCCGGAAUUACUGGGUGUAAAGGGAGCGCAGGCGGGUCUGCAAGUUGGAAGUGAAACCCAUGGGCUCAACCCAUGAACUGCUUUCAAAACUGCGGAUCUUGAGUGGCGUAGAGGUAGGCGGAAUUCCCGGUGUAGCGGUGGAAUGCGUAGAUAUCGGGAGGAACACCAGUGGCGAAGGCGGCCUACUGGGCACUAACUGACGCUGAGGCUCGAAAGCAUGGGUAGCAAACAGG
This 751-nucleotide ribosomal RNA is filed under the name uncultured bacterium. Its description in RNAcentral is "bacterial SSU rRNA". It matches the Rfam family "Bacterial small subunit ribosomal RNA", at positions 28 to 776 of the family's 1533-position model. The record is from RNAcentral.